This 54-nucleotide transfer RNA is filed under the name Dirofilaria sp. 'hongkongensis'. RNAcentral describes it as "tRNA-Ser". Lineage: Eukaryota; Metazoa; Nematoda; Chromadorea; Rhabditida; Onchocercidae. RNAcentral also lists the same sequence under 2 other names. The record is from RNAcentral.
GAGUUAAUUUUUUUAAGUUUUGAAAACUUUUUUUAGGUAUUUUUAUCUUUAACU